RNAcentral lists this non-coding RNA (166 nucleotides) under bovine gut metagenome. Its description in RNAcentral is "Lysine riboswitch". It matches the Rfam family "Lysine riboswitch aptamer". From Rfam's summary of the family: Riboswitches are metabolite binding domains within certain messenger RNAs that serve as precision sensors for their corresponding targets. The record is from RNAcentral.
UAUGAUAGAGGCGCAUUCCCGAAAAGUAGCUCUGCCGAGGCCGCCGAGGCCGUCGAAGCCGGGCAAAAGGCGCGGAGUGCCGAAGUUUCCGUCUGCGGCAGGACGGACGCUGGUCGCUACGGCAAACAGCCCUGCGACUGUCAUCGCAAGAUGGAGAGCUAUCUUA